This 424-nucleotide ribosomal RNA is filed under the name uncultured bacterium. RNAcentral's name for it is "bacterial SSU rRNA". It matches the Rfam family "Bacterial small subunit ribosomal RNA", at positions 355 to 796 of the family's 1533-position model. The record is from RNAcentral.
UGGGGAAUAUUGGACAAUGGGCGCAAGCCUGAUCCAGCAAUGCCGCGUGAGUGAUGAAGGCCUUAGGGUUGUAAAGCUCUUUCGGCGGGGACGAUGAUGACGGUACCCGCAGAAGAAGCCCCGGCUAACUUCGUGCCAGCAGCCGCGGUAAUACGAAGGGGGCGAGCGUUGUUCGGAAUCACUGGGCGUAAAGGGCGCGCAGGCGGCCUUGUUUGUCAGGCGUGAAAGCCCCGGGCUCAACCUGGGAGGUGCGCUUGGGACGGCGAGGCUAGAGAUCGGGAGAGGAGAGUGGAAUUCCCAGUGUAGAGGUGAAAUUCGUAGAUAUUGGGAAGAACACCGGUGGCGAAGGCGGCUCUCUGGACCGACACUGACGCUGAGGCGCGAAAGCGUGGGGAGCAAACAGGAUUAGAUACCCCUGUAGUCC